Molecule: long non-coding RNA, 2594 nt
Organism: Drosophila ananassae
Lineage: Eukaryota; Metazoa; Arthropoda; Insecta; Diptera; Drosophilidae
Exons: 2
Source: RefSeq, a predicted model, not a curated record
GCAUGUAUUGUUACACCCGAAGAAAGAUGUAAACUACAACAUAUUUCUAAAAAUUAAUCUUUACAUUUAUUUUUCUAUUUUUUUUAAAUCUUUUCUUUGUCCGAAAUUGUUAUAUCUUGACACCAACUCAAGAAGCAACUCUGUAUCCUUCAGAACAAAUUUUUUCGAGUGCAUUAUUCCUGUCUGCACGUAGGCCAGACACGCACACCAUGCCACCAACUCUCAGACGGUAAAAAAACACAAGAACUCACGGGACAGCAUAAAAAUAAACGUUCAAACUUACGUACCGACCGACCGACCGACCGAGUGGAGUAGCAAACGGAGGCACAAAAGUUAACUGGAAAAACGUCACCCAGCAAACAUUUGACAGGAACAGGGGCAGGGACAGGGAAAUGGGUUGAAAGUCUUUAGCGGCAAUUAGCACUCACCUGCCGAAGUUGCAGACGCAUCUAAAUUUGGGAAUGCACCAAUCCUAACAGUUAAAAGCUUCAAAUCAUACAACAUGUUGUCUACACAACGGGUUUACACAUCAGAAUUCAUAAAAGUGAAUCUUCCAACACACACACACACACACACGACACUCACACUCACUCCCACUCGCUCGCACUCUCUCGUGAACACACAAAUGUAUCUGCAAGUUGCAGUAACAUAUACAGAUUCAGAUACAAAUGUAGGCAAAAGCAACAACAACAGAACAGCAUUAGCAGCAGAGACUGCAGCUCAUGUCGUAAUGCUGUUGAUGUAAUAAAAAAAAAAAAAGAGCGCAGCAGCAGCAGCAACAACAAUGUUAUCAACAGUAAUGACCAGGAAAACACAAUGACGAAAGAAAAGCUUAGCAAAACAAAAAUGUGACAAGGAACAAUAAAUUAACGUGAGACUGAGACUGAGACUGGCCAAGGCGAUAGAAGCGGUAGGUAGGAUGAGGAUAAGGAUGGGAAGCGAAGCAGGAAUUUAUGGACGAAAAAUACCUGUUACUCGAGACGAGACUUCUGAUUAUAGCCAGCAAUCAACAAUUAUGGUGUUUGGCUUUCAUGAGGCCCAUUAAUAUUCCCUUAUUUAAUAUUCCCUUCAAACUCCAUAAAGCAUAAUUUAUUUAAUUAAAACAAACAAUUGUAAAAAACUCAAUAAACUUAAACAUUUGCUGUUAAAAGUAUCUGUUCCCAGUCAAUUUAACUGGGAACAGUUUAGCGCUCUGAGAGAGCAACUAGGUGAGAGCAGAACAAGAGAGAGAGAGAGAGCAGCAUAACAGCAAGAAAGCUAUAUACGCUUAAAGCAGACGUUUCUAUACCCUUCUAAUCUAACAGAUUCAAAAAAAUUUAAUCCGGAAUUCAGGUAAUUAGAAAUGAAAUCAAUGGGAACAAUUUUUCUGGGAAUAAAGUUUAUUUUUAUUUCUCAUGCCUUAAACCUUAUCGUUUCUAUGACAGCUAAUCCGAUUUAGUUUUUUUUUUUGGAAAUUAUCCCUCUAAUAUCUUGAUAUUGAUAUUUAGGGUCAACAGUUAUUCUCUCCAACAUCUGGUCAAAAUUGUAAUAACUUAAGAGGGCAUUACAACAAUAACUGUAAGCGGCGUCUCUUUUGUUUUUACAUCAUUUACAUACAUACGAUGUAGAGGCUUUCCCAGUCGGGCUUUUUGGUGCAUGCAUCGUGCCGCAGUCGCCUGACGCGCGCUUUUUUGCACCGUUUUCCGCUUGCAUGCAGACAUCAAGGAAAUUUUUUCCCUUUUCAAAGCAAUUGCUCUGAAAAAAAGGGGACUUAGAAAAUUUUCAUCUCGUUUGGGACUUAGAAAAAUUUUUGCGUGGGACAUUUAACUUAGAAAAAAUUUAUUCAUGCCAAAUUAUUAAUAUUAUAUUUUAUAUUAUUCAUUGAAUACUUUUAAGUUAUAGAAGUGUCAAUUUAAACAAAUUGUUUAAAUACAAAAUAAAAACAAAAAAUUUUAAAUUGAACUAAAAUAGUUUAAUUUUAUUAUUAAAAUAAAAAAUAAAGGAGUAAAAACAAAAGUUACACACCUCAAGCAAAAAAAAAAAAAUUGAAUAAUAAUGUAAAUCUUAAAAAUAAAUACAUUUCUUAAUAGUGAAUUGUGUAAAUACAGAAAACAAAAAAAUAUAAUAUAAAAAAUGGGUGAAAGGGUUGCCAUCGCGUGGGCGAUAUUUUUCUAAGUGCGGGAAUCGAUAGUAGCUUUAAAGUAUGGCAACUCCCCCACCCUAUUUAUUCUAGUGCAUUUAGUUGAAUUGAACGUGUUGAAUUGCAUUUUAACAAAAGAAAUAAUCAACAAGGAGUGAUUUUUCCACCUACGACGACUUCAUUAGGGCCAUCCGGGAUGGAAUAAGGAGAGCCAAAAAUAAAAAUUAUAAGGAAAAAUAAAAAAAAAACAAAGAAAAUUCCCCGCCAUUACUUGACAAUUUAAAUUAAGCAGAAUGUUUAAAUAUUGUUUACUUUUAUUUUUAAUUUUUAGUUUUAAUUUGUAGUUUCAAUUUUUAGUUUUAAUUUUUAGUUUUAAUUUUAGCAGUGUAUUAAUUAACAGUGUAACUUAUAUUUAAUUUUAAUUUAAUAAAAUAAAAACGAAUAAAAGCAAAAAAAAAAGCAAAAGCAAAAAAAA